GGUAUUACAAUUUACAAUCUUCAAACUAAACCAACCAUCUCAAAGUAUAGUAUAGUAUCCUCAACCCUCAACCCUCACCAGUCACCCCCCACCCCCACCCCACCCCACCCAUACACACACAAAGAAAGAAAGACCCUCCAAGAAAUUAUAAAGACAUCCUUAAAUCUUGACUUGAGAAAUCAAUUACUACUAGUUAAGAGCACUGGAAGCCAGCAGGAGCUUCUUUGGAACAAACAUUAAGAAGCAAACUAAGUGAAACUGGAACAUUAAGGUUAAUCCCCAAAAUAUUAGCCUUAAUAGCAGUGCAAAGACAAAGAGCAGCUUCAGCAUUAGCAAGUCCAGAAAGUAGGCUACAACAAGGUGUCACUGGUGGUGAGCCAAUAACAGCAUUCACUAAACCAAGAACAUCAGCACAAACACCCAACUUAAGUGUAUCAAUUGGGCAAGUUUCUGUAGGAUAAUAAGGAGGUGGAGGGCAUGAUGGUUUUGGUUUUGGCUUUGGCUUUGGUUUAGGACAAGUGCCACAGCCAGAAACUACGGCAA
This 543-nucleotide long non-coding RNA is filed under the name Capsicum annuum. RNAcentral's name for it is "long non-coding RNA (CANN_LNC000449)". The record is from RNAcentral. Lineage: Eukaryota; Viridiplantae; Streptophyta; Magnoliopsida; Solanales; Solanaceae.